GUGCCAGCAGCCGCGGUAAUACGGAGGAUGCAAGCGUUAUCCCGAUUCAUUGGGUUUAAAGGGUGCGCAGGUGGGAAAAUAAGUCAGUGGUGAAAUACUGCCGCUUAACGGUAGAAUUGCCAUUGAUACUGUUUUUCUUGAGUAUGGUUGAGGUAGGUGGAAUGUGUUGUGUAGCGGUGAAAUGCAUAGAUAUGACACAGAACGCCGAUUGCGAAGGCAGCUUACUAAGCCAUUACUGACGCUGAGGCACGGAAGCGUGGGGAUCGAACAGGAUUAGAUACCCUGGUAGUCCACGCCGUAAACGAUGCUCACUCGCUGUUUGCGAUAUACAGCAAGCGGCUGAGCGAAAGCAUUAAGUGAUCCACCUGGGGAGUACGAUCGCAAGGUUGAAACUCAAAUAAAUUGACGGG
This 410-nucleotide ribosomal RNA is filed under the name uncultured Anaerophaga sp. Its description in RNAcentral is "bacterial SSU rRNA". It matches the Rfam family "Bacterial small subunit ribosomal RNA", at positions 505 to 917 of the family's 1533-position model. Lineage: Bacteria; Pseudomonadati; Bacteroidota; Bacteroidia; Marinilabiliales; Marinilabiliaceae. The record is from RNAcentral.